CCACUACUCACCCACGUGACCUCAUUCCUUCAGGAUGCUGGCGGAGAGGGGAAAAGGAGGGGGAGGCUGGCACUGCCGCUCCCCGCCACCGGGUGCCGUGUCCCCAGCCUGGACGAGACCCCUCCCUUCCUACGCGGCCGCCCCGACCCCGGAGGAUGGGUUCUCUUGUUACCUUCCGCACUUAGCCCCUCCCCUCAAAAUAUGCGUUCCCCUCACUGACCCUGUGAUGCCCACCCCUAGCCGGGGCUCCUGGAAAACGGUGAAAUGGGGACUGGGCUGAAAGGUGGCCCGCGGGCCUCGACGCCUGGCCUAGACCAAAGAGCGCGGGGCUCCCGCGGGGGACGCAACGCCUUCAGCCACGCGUCCGGGAGAUUUUCAUUCACUCCAAGUGACACUCCCUUAAAAUUAAUAACUGCAUCUGGGAGGGCGAGCGUGUCCUCCCUGCUCCCCUUGCCCCCUCGGCCACACGGGCGCUGACCCUGAAGAGCGGCGCACAGGGAUCCAGCCUGGGCCCCUGGCAGGGAGAAAUCGCGAGAGGGGAGUGGAGGUGCGGGGUGAGGCCGGGGUGGGGGGCGCCUCGCCGCGGGGGGCUGUGGAGGCGGCUGCGCCUAGGCGUGCUCGGGCGGAGAAGAAAGGAGGCUCGCUGAGGACGGGAACUCAGGCUCCCGGCCUGGGACACAAUAACCUGGCCGACGGCGAGAGGCCACACUGGUCUAGGAAACGAGGCGCCAAGCUGGAAGGUGGGCCCGCGCCUUUUCUCCGGCCUGGCGCGGAUUUCGUAUUUUUCGCUCGCGCCCUGCGCUGCGCGCUGCCUGUGCACCUCCCUCGGCGCGCGGGCGGGAGUCGGGCGAGCGCCAAGACGGCGGGGCCCGCUGACUCCCACCGGCGCCCCGGCUCCACCCGCCGCUCGGGCUCCGGUCCCCACUGUCUCCGACCGGAGGGAGAGAAUGAGGAGGGAGGCUUGGAAAUGCCGGGAGGAGCCGUGAGGCCGGCGCCGGGAAGCGAAUCGAUACCGCAUUACUGGACGCCCGUGGGCCUCAUGAGGACGGUCGAAUCGCUCAUUCGUUAUUCACGAUUUAUUAGGGAUGGCGGCCGCGUCUGUCCCUCCAGAAAGCUCAAUUAUCCAUCUGGCCAGCAGCGCCAUGAAGCGCACUGACGGUGGGAGGCUCGAGUUAGAAAUUAGGAAAGGAAUCUUCGCCCGGUUUUGGAGCGCCUGUCUCCUCUUCUCUCGUUGCUCGCAGCCAAGGCAGCCCCGGAGCUGGGGGCCCCGGUGAAUGUUUUCGCCCUCUGGCCGGCGACCAGGAGACCUGCGCACAUUAGCCACCGAGUGACCCUAGCUUGAGCCUGCAGCCACAUCGGCGGGAUGGGGGCGGGGAGGAAGAGGAAGGGCGGAGAGAUUUCCUUCUAGAGGGAGUGGUUGGAGAACCGGCGGGAGAAGGGCCAAGGGAAGAUCCGGUCACCUGCUCGCGAGUCUGCACCCGGAAAGGCGAGUUCACCGGCCCUGGAGGAAAGGGGACACGCCCACUGUUCCCAGGGCAAAUGUGUCGCCGGCAUCCUGGACUCUGCCAGGGAAGACGCACAUCCACUACGCUCUGCCGGGAGGGGAGCGCGGCAGGGACUCCCGGUCGGCUGCCCCUUUCUGGCUGCAAGACCCGGAGCAAGAGAAACCUGUAGGGGCUUUGCGGAGACCUGAAUCCCACCCACCAACCACACGGGCACCUACGGGCUGCCCCUCGGGGCAGUAUCAGCCAGUGGGAAGGGGGCUGACGUUCCUCUGCGGCCCAUGAAUCCUGGUGACUGCCCGAGGGGCCGCCGGAGUCCAUCCACUUAUUCCUCGGUUGUUAAGCGCCCGGCAGGAGCAAACCGCUAGAAAGGAGUAUGCUAAGACCCCAUUACCCACUAACACUCCAGUUUCAUCUUUUGCGUCCUGGAUGACCAGUCCCCAUAUUCCUGGCCUUUCUGGUUUCUCAGGGGAACCUUCUGACCCAACUCUUCCCAGAUUGGAAGAGUUUCCUAGUCUUUGUUCUAUACUGGCCGACAGAGAAGCACCUGUCACGUGCCAAUGUCAAAUACUGCGCUAGGCACUGGGCAUUCAAGGCACAGGAGCCUGGCUUUUGCGCGGGGCGCUCACAGGCCGGUGGGUGCAAACCCUGAGGGACACACAGCCUGUCCCUUUAGCGACCACCACUUCUGUUGUGAGCUCCCGCUAAGGGUGGGUGAGUACUAGGGAGGGCUUCCAGAAGAGGCCUCCUUUGAGCCGAAUCUGCAGAGACCAAGUGUCUACGAGAACUGCUUAAGAGUGCUUUGCACAUUCUCAUCUACAAAGGUCGAGGCUCCCACUGCGCCCAGGAAUACGCCUCGGCAGACAUUAGGCGCCUCUUGAUUUUGUGUUUGCAUCUCACCUGGUCCUCUAGCUGACAAUGGCAUCAGAAGAGUCAGUGUCUGUCACAGACGACUAGGGGCUCGCAGAGGAUAGGAACGCGGGAAAUCUAGGCAGUUACUUCCAGCACAUACGAAGAGCUAUUGCGAGGAUUAGAUCCCUUUAAAAACGGUGACGGUGACGAGGCGGGAGAGGGCGGCUCCUCUCGUGCUUUCAGGAACGUCUUUACCUCUGUGUUCCUUACACCUUUUAUCUCCCCCAAACAAGGUCCUUGGUCUGUUUUUGCUUCUAUUUUUCCAUUCUCCUCCCCACCUCUCUGUGUAUUUCCAGGGGAAAAAAAUUGUGUUGCUUUAAUUCUGAUGCUUCUCAUAUUAAAUGCGUCUCUUUUCCCUCUC
Sapajus apella (tufted capuchin) is the source of this 2775-nucleotide RNA transcript. RefSeq lists it as uncharacterized. The record is from RefSeq and is a predicted model, not a curated record. Lineage: Eukaryota; Metazoa; Chordata; Mammalia; Primates; Cebidae. The transcript has a single exon.